CAGUCGAGCGGACAGAUGGGAGCUUGCUCCCUGAUGUUAGCGGCGGACGGGUGAGUAACACGUGGGUAACCUGCCUGUAAGACUGGGAUAACUCCGGGAAACCGGGGCUAAUACCGGAUGGUUGUUUGAACCGCAUGGUUCAGACAUAAAAGGUGGCUUCGGCUACCACUUACAGAUGGACCCGCGGCGCAUUAGCUAGUUGGUGAGGUAACGGCUCACCAAGGCGACGAUGCGUAGCCGACCUGAGAGGGUGAUCGGCCACACUGGGACUGAGACACGGCCCAGACUCCUACGGGAGGCAGCAGUAGGGAAUCUUCCGCAAUGGACGAAAGUCUGACGGAGCAACGCCGCGUGAGUGAUGAAGGUUUUCGGAUCGUAAAGCUCUGUUGUUAGGGAAGAACAAGUGCCGUUCAAAUAGGGCGGCACCUUGACGGUACCUAACCAGAAAGCCACGGCUAACUACGUGCCAGCAGCCGCGGUAAUACGUAGGUGGCAAGCGUUGUCCGGAAUUAUUGGGCGUAAAGGGCUCGCAGGCGGUUUCUUAAGUCUGAUGUGAAAGCCCCCGGCUCAACCGGGGAGGGUCAUUGGAAACUGGGGAACUUGAGUGCAGAAGAGGAGAGUGGAAUUCCACGUGUAGCGGUGAAAUGCGUAGAGAUGUGGAGGAACACCAGUGGCGAAGGCGACUCUCUGGUCUGUAACUGACGCUGAGGAGCGAAAGCGUGGGGAGCGAACAGGAUUAGAUACCCUGGUAGUCCACGCCGUAAACGAUGAGUGCUAAGUGUUAGGGGGUUUCCGCCCCUUAGUGCUGCAGCUAACGCAUUAAGCACUCCGCCUGGGGAGUACGGUCGCAAGACUGAACUCAAAGGAAUUGACGGGGGCCCGCAC
RNAcentral lists this ribosomal RNA (885 nucleotides) under Bacillus amyloliquefaciens. RNAcentral's name for it is "bacterial SSU rRNA". It matches the Rfam family "Bacterial small subunit ribosomal RNA", at positions 59 to 926 of the family's 1533-position model. The record is from RNAcentral. Lineage: Bacteria; Bacillati; Bacillota; Bacilli; Caryophanales; Bacillaceae.